This 468-nucleotide ribosomal RNA is filed under the name uncultured bacterium. RNAcentral's name for it is "partial 16S ribosomal RNA". It matches the Rfam family "Bacterial small subunit ribosomal RNA", at positions 28 to 507 of the family's 1533-position model. The record is from RNAcentral.
GUCGAACGCUGGCGGCGCGCCUAACACAUGCAAGUCGAACGGAGUCAAGAGGAGCUUGCUUUUCUUGACUUAGUGGCGAACGGGUGAGUAACGCGUGAGUAACCUGCCCUGGAGUGGGGGACAACAGUUGGAAACGACUGCUAAUACCGCAUAAGCCCACGGAUCCGCAUGGAUCUGCGGGAAAAGGAUUUAUUCGCUUCAGGAUGGACUCGCGUCCAAUUAGCUAGUUGGUGAGGUAACGGCCCACCAAGGCGACGAUUGGUAGCCGGACUGAGAGGUUGAACGGCCACAUUGGGACUGAGACACGGCCCAGACUCCUACGGGAGGCAGCAGUGGGGGAUAUUGCACAAUGGGGGAAACCCUGAUGCAGCGACGCCGCGUGGAGGAAGAAGGUUUUCGGAUUGUAAACUCCUGUCGUUAGGGACGAUAAUGACGGUACCUAACAAGAAAGCACCGGCUAACUACGUG